UGGGGAAUAUUGGACAAUGGGCGCAAGCCUGAUCCAGCCAUGCCGCGUGUGUGAAGAAGGCCUUAUGGUUGUAAAGCACUUUAAGCGAGGAGGCGUUACUCGCAGAAUAAGCACCGGCUAACUCUGUGCCAGCAGCCGCGGUAAUACAGAGGGUGCAAGCGUUAAUCGGAUUUACUGGGCGUAAAGCGCGCGUAGGCGGCUAAUUAAGUCAAAUGUGAAAUCCCCGAGCUUAACUUGGGAAUUGCAUUCGAUACUGUUUAGCUAGAGUGUGGGAGAGGAUGGUAGAAUUCCAGGUGUAGCGGUGAAAUGCGUAGAGAUCUGGAGGAAUACCGAUGGCGAAGGCAGCCAUCUGGCCUAACACUGACGCUGAGGUGCGAAAGCAU
Molecule: ribosomal RNA, 383 nt
Filed under: uncultured bacterium
Lineage: Bacteria
Description: bacterial SSU rRNA
Rfam family: Bacterial small subunit ribosomal RNA
Source: RNAcentral